GACGAACGCUGGCGGCGUGCUUAACACAUGCAAGUCGAACGGAAAGGCCCUGCUUUUGUGGGGUGCUCGAGUGGCGAACGGGUGAGUAACACGUGAGUAACCUGCCCUUGACUUUGGGAUAACUUCAGGAAACUGGGGCUAAUACCGGAUAGGAGCUCCUGCUGCAUGGGGGGGGUUGGAAAGUUUCGGCGGUUGGGGAUGGACUCGCGGCUUAUCAGCUUGUUGGUGGGGUAGUGGCUUACCAAGGCUUUGACGGGUAGCCGGCCUGAGAGGGUGACCGGCAACAUUGGGACUGAGAUACGGCCCAGACUCCUACGGGAGGAAGCAGUGGGGAAUAUUGCACACUGGGCGGAAGCCUGAUGCAGCAACGCCGCGUGCGGGAUGACGGCCUUCGGGUUGUAAACCGCUUUCGCCUGUGACGAAGCGUGAGUGACGGUAAUGGGUAAAGAAGCACCGGCUAACUACGUG
RNAcentral lists this ribosomal RNA (468 nucleotides) under uncultured bacterium. RNAcentral describes it as "partial 16S ribosomal RNA". It matches the Rfam family "Bacterial small subunit ribosomal RNA", at positions 28 to 507 of the family's 1533-position model. The record is from RNAcentral.